Long non-coding RNA from Drosophila pseudoobscura, 978 nucleotides. RefSeq lists it as uncharacterized. The transcript has 2 exons. The record is from RefSeq and is a predicted model, not a curated record. Lineage: Eukaryota; Metazoa; Arthropoda; Insecta; Diptera; Drosophilidae.
UCUUGUUACGCUCCCCCACGCCAUCUGGAAGACAGACUAAACAGCUUUGGCACUAGUUUUAUAGUCCGAGGCGACUUCAACGCCAAGCACACCUGGUGGGACUUCAGACUCAACAAUUCCAAUAGUUCCAGGGGAAUCAACACCAGCCUCAUCCACACCCAAUCCGAGUUCGACUUGAUGUCUGAUCACUGUGCGCGCAAUGUCUGCAACACAUUUUAAUUUUCACUUAAUAAUUUUCAUUUUAAUAAUCACUAUGCGAUGCCAAUGCCAAUCCUCUGACAAUGCAAGCCAAUAACUAACUUGUUUUACCCAGCCACUUUUCAGUCAUGUCUGCUACUACACAUAUUUAGAUAAGCAGUAGGCGCCACACUUAUUGUAUAAUGUGCCAUUUCAAAUACAACUCUCUCAUUUGAGAGACUGCCAGUUUUGUUCGCAUUGUCGAACACAACACUAAACAAAUCACAUCAGAAAAAAAAUCAGAAAAAUUAAGGAAAAAAAAGCAAUUUUCAAAUUUCAAUGGUCGAAAUUUGGAGGCCUAACCAGUGACGCUGCCCCAUACGAUGGCCGUGACGUCACUCCAACUUCAAGAAGUCAGCAGCCAUCUCCAACGACGAGGCCAGCCGCUACAACGACACUGGCCAACGAGCCAAAGCCAAUACCAUCGACAAUGCAUCCUGGGUGGCCGGACCAACAGCCACUCGGAUGCAGCCAAUUCCAAUUAAUAGGAAACCUACUUAAAUUAUAAUGACUUAAUGGUUCUGCUAAAUCUGCCUUUCCGUCUCUACGACCGUGGCAGACGAGCGUAAUGGAAACGGAAGGAGGACGAAGGACGAAGCCGCAUAGAAGAAACGCCUGAGCCAUUGUUUCUUUUAUUAUUUUUUUCCACUUUUUGCUUUAUUAAAAAAAAUUCACUUUCUGCUUAAUCUCUAGUAAAAAGAAUUCCGAAAUAAUAUUUUUCAAAAUUUAGAAUUUUUUUUA